GACGAACGCUGGCGGCGUGCUUAACACAUGCAAGUCGAACGGAAAGGCCUGCUUUCCCUUGUGGAUUGCGGGUACUCGAGUGGCGAACGGGUGAGUAACACGUGAGUGAUCUGCCCCCAACUUGGGUAUAAGCCUGGGAAACUGGGUCUAAUUCCCGAUAGGACUGCAGGGUGGUGCCUGUGGUGGAAAACGAUUUUCUAGUGGUUGGGGAUGAGCUCGCGGCCUAUCAGCUUGUUGGUGGGGUAAUGGCCUACCAAGGCGGCGACGGGUAGCCGGCCUGAGAGGGUGGACGGCCACAUUGGGACUGAGAUACGGCCCAGACUCCUACGGGAGGCAGCAGUGGGGAAUAUUGCACAAUGGGCGGAAGCCUGAUGCAGCGACGCCGCGUGGGGGAUGACGGCCUUCGGAUUGUAAACUCCUUUCGACCGCGAGGAAGCCACCUGGUUGGAAGGGUGGUGACGGUAGUGGUAGAAGAAGCACCGGCUAACUACGU
RNAcentral lists this ribosomal RNA (493 nucleotides) under uncultured bacterium. RNAcentral describes it as "partial 16S ribosomal RNA". It matches the Rfam family "Bacterial small subunit ribosomal RNA", at positions 28 to 506 of the family's 1533-position model. The record is from RNAcentral.